GGGAUCGGAGGUUCCCCCCAAUACAGCCUAAAGAAUUACCAUAUUUGGAAUGCACAGUUUCCAUUCUAGUUGAUUAUGAAAUAGCUACAAAUUAUCUUGAUUGGGAGGUAGGUAAGCAUGGUAUUAUUAUUGAAUUUAAUGAUCCCGACUAUAAUACUAGACGAAGUGCUACGUAUCUGCCUGAGGUCGCUGCCCAUGAAGGUUGGACAAAAAUCGAGGCAAUUGACUCAUUGAUGCGGAAGGCAGGAUAUAAUGGUGCAAUCACCGAGUCACUGCGUAAGCGUAUUCGAUUGACCCGGUACCAAAGCACCCUAUUCACCAUGCACUACGGUGAGUAUGUCUCCUACGUUAAAACCACCCGAGGCACGGCUCCUUCCGUGGUCGGGGCUAAAGCCUAACAACAGUCAAUUCUUCCAAACGGCUUUAGCUAAAUUCUGCAAAGCCUAAGUUUGGGUACUGAACUGAAACAAAAUAUAGGAUGCUUGAAUGAUAUGUCUUGUGUUCCAUUCAUCCCAAG
This 517-nucleotide unclassified non-coding RNA is filed under the name Hevea brasiliensis (rubber tree). The record is from RNAcentral. Lineage: Eukaryota; Viridiplantae; Streptophyta; Magnoliopsida; Malpighiales; Euphorbiaceae.